Molecule: long non-coding RNA, 695 nt
Filed under: Mytilus galloprovincialis (Mediterranean mussel)
Lineage: Eukaryota; Metazoa; Mollusca; Bivalvia; Mytilida; Mytilidae
Source: RNAcentral
UUGAUUUUUGAUCCGUCAAAAAACAUGGCCGCCGUUACUUAAAAUAGAACAUAGGGGUCAAUGCAGUUUUUGGCUUAUAUCUCAAAAACGAAAGCAUUUAGAGCAAAUCUGACAUUGAGUAAAAAUGUUCAUUAGGUCAAGAUCUAUCAGCCCUGAAAUUUUCAGAUGAAUCAAACAAACCAUUGUUGGGUUGCUGCCACUUAAUUGGUAAUUUUAAGGAAAUUUUGCAGUUUUUGGUCAUUAUCUUGAAUAUUAUUAUAGAUAAAGAUAAACUGUAAACAGCAAAUAUGAUCAGCAAAGUAAGAUCUACAAAUAAGUUAAUUUGACCAAAAUUGUCAAUUGACCCCUUAAGGGGUUAUUGUCCUUUAAUGACAAUUUUUCACAAUUUGUUCAUCAUAUUUGCUAACUUUAAAAAAUCUUCUCCUCUGAAACUACUGAAUGGAUUUGGUUAAAACUUAGCAUGGUUGUUCCUUAGAUUAUCCUGCACAAAGUGUGUGCUUUGAUUUUUGAUCCGUCAAAAAACAUGGCCGCCGUUACUUAAAAUAGAACAUAGGGGUCAAAUGCAGUUUUUGGCUUAUAUCUCAAAAACGAAAGCAUUAAGAGCAAAUCUGACGGAGUAAAAAUGUUCAUUAGGUCAAUAUCUAUCAGCCCUGAAAUUUUCAGAUGAAUCAAACAUCCAAUUGUUGGGUUGCUGC